Molecule: long non-coding RNA, 320 nt
Organism: Populus nigra (black poplar)
Lineage: Eukaryota; Viridiplantae; Streptophyta; Magnoliopsida; Malpighiales; Salicaceae
Exons: 3
Source: RefSeq, a predicted model, not a curated record
UUAAGAAGAUUUCGACAAAUAUUAACAGCAGUAAGGCAAGUAGCGACUCUCAACAACCAUCUCCAAAUAAUGAAAAUCCAGAGACGGAUACAGAACCGGCCCUCUCACAGCAUGUUUCAAAGGGUGCUGAAGUAUCAUCGUUUUCCAUCAUCCCCUCCAAGAUGAAAAAUCCCUUCGCGAAAAGGUCUGAAGGCAGUAAGGCAAGUAGCGACUCUCAACAACCAUCUCCAAAUAAUGAAAAUCCAGAGACGGAUACAGAACCGGCCCUCUCACAGGUGAGAAUACUAAUGAAUGGUAAUUAAUCAUCAGUUCGUGAUGAU